UCGGAUAUGGUGUAAUGGUUAACAUUACCGCCUCUCACUUAGGAUUCGCGGUAGCUCGGGGUUCGAUUCCCCGUAUCCGAA
This 81-nucleotide transfer RNA is filed under the name Suillus occidentalis. RNAcentral describes it as "tRNA-Glu". It matches the Rfam family "tRNA". Rfam says of the family: Transfer RNA (tRNA) molecules are approximately 80 nucleotides in length. Their secondary structure includes four short double-helical elements and three loops (D, anti-codon, and T loops). Lineage: Eukaryota; Fungi; Basidiomycota; Agaricomycetes; Boletales; Suillaceae. RNAcentral also lists the same sequence under 1 other name. The record is from RNAcentral.